AAGUCGGGAAGGGAUAAACGCUGAAAGCAUCUAAGCGUGAAGCCCACCUCAAGAUGAGAUUUCCCAUAGCAUAAGCUAGUAAGACCCCUUGAAGAACACAAGGUUGAUAGGUCAGAGGUGUAAGCAUGGUAACAUGUUCAGCUGACUGAUACUAAUAGGUCGAGGGCUUGACCAA
RNAcentral lists this ribosomal RNA (175 nucleotides) under Clostridioides difficile. Its description in RNAcentral is "partial 23S ribosomal RNA". It matches the Rfam family "Bacterial large subunit ribosomal RNA", at positions 2751 to 2925 of the family's 2925-position model. The record is from RNAcentral. Lineage: Bacteria; Bacillati; Bacillota; Clostridia; Peptostreptococcales; Peptostreptococcaceae.